This 240-nucleotide unclassified non-coding RNA is filed under the name soil metagenome. RNAcentral's name for it is "partial contains 5.8S ribosomal RNA, internal transcribed spacer 2, and large subunit ribosomal RNA". The record is from RNAcentral.
AAGACUAUAGACCUGCGGAGUACCUGCGGAAGGAUCAUUACAUGGCGGAGAAGGUGGGCAACCUGGCCAACAUCCAGGUUGUGAUGCCUUCACGCUCUUCCACCCUUGUCUAUUUGCACCUUCUGUCGUUCCCUCGGCGGGUUUCGACCCGCCGGCGGCAACAUUGAAAAACCCUUUUUGCAGUUAGCAUUCAAUUCUUCUGAUCAAAUAUUAAAUCAUUACAACUUUUAGCAAUGGAUC